AAUCAAAGUUAUUUUCUUCCAUAGAAAAUAUAUCCAAUAUAUGCCCUACAUUAGCUUUGAAAAGUUUCUUUUCUUCUCCCCUUAUGGCACAUAAAAUUGACUCAUCAAAACAUUGUUUAAAUUCUUUAGGCAUAGGAAAAACUAACAAACUAUAUACAAGUUUGAAAACUUAUGUUUAUCAAUUUUAGUCAUAUGCUUUGAGUGAAAAACAUACCUCAUGCCUUCAUUUGUUCACCACUUCUUUAUAAACAUAUAUAUAAUCACAUGACCAACCGGAAUUCUCAUAUAAAUAGAUAACAUACAAAUGAGAAUUGUCACGUAAUUACUGCAAACCUCAUUCACUUGUAUAAUGUUCUUGUUCUUGCCACUGGAUGCUUUCUGCCAUUCUCAGUCAAUUCACAAUUUAUGCAUCAAUUUCAUAAUUAACUAGUCAUAUACAAUUGACUAUACUGAGAUAUGAAAGCAAAAUUGUAGACAAACUAAUUUGAUUAGUCAUGCAUAUUCCUUACGAGUUAAUAUCACUAUGACCAUAAGCAACAAAAGUACUGCAUAACUAUUGCUUAUCUGCCAGAUUAUACAUAUAUUUGUGUGUCUUGUAUGGGAUCAUCUCAAGCUUAAAGCAAUAUAUAACCACCCAAUCCUUGUAUAAAAACACGCCAUAUGUCCAUUUUGCUACAUGUUUGCAAAUUUAAAAUUUAAUCCAUAUUGAUUACUUCCCGUAGCAACCAAUGACAUGGCAAUCCAAUUCAAUCUAUAUAUAUGUCCCACACAUUAUCAUAACUAAAAAAAA
This 790-nucleotide long non-coding RNA is filed under the name Malus domestica (apple). RNAcentral describes it as "long non-coding RNA (MDOM_LNC011635)". Lineage: Eukaryota; Viridiplantae; Streptophyta; Magnoliopsida; Rosales; Rosaceae. The record is from RNAcentral.